AGAGUUUGAUCAUGGCUCAGGAUGAACGCUGGCGGCGUGCCUAAUACAUGCAAGUCGAGCGAGAAUCUGAUGAUUGGAGAUUCGUCAAAGAGAUUCAGAGGAAAGCGGCGGACGGGUGAGUAACGCGUAGGCAACCUGCCCUUAGCAGAGGGAUAGCCAUUGGAAACGAUGAUUAAAACCUCAUAAUGCUGUUGAAACACAUGUUUCGGCAGCCAAAGAUUUAUCGGCUAAGGAUGGGCCUGCGUCUGAUUAACUAGUUGGUGGGGUAACGGCUCACCAAGGUGACGAUCAGUAGCCGACCUGAGAGGGUGAUCGGCCACAUUGGAACUGAGACACGGUCCAAACUUCUACGGAAGGCAGCAGUAAGGAAUCUUGCACAAUGGGGGAAACCCUGAUGCAGCAACGCCGCGUGAACGAUGAAGGCCUUAGGGUUGUAAAGUUCUGAUCUGUGGGAAGAAGAAGUGACGGUACCACAGGAGAAAGCCCCGGCUAAAUACGUGCCAGCAGCCGCGGUAAUACGUAUGGGGCAAGCGUUAUCCGGAAUUAUUGGGCGUAAAGAGUGCGUAGGUGGUUACCUAAGCGCAAGGUUUAAUCUUGAGGCUCAACCUCAUUCUGCCUUGCGAACUGGGCUACUUGAGUGCAGGAGGGGAAAGCGGAAUUCCCAGUGUAGCGGUGAAAUGCGUAGAUAUUGGGAAGAACACCGGUGGCGAASGCGGCUUUCUGGACUGUAACUGACACUGAGGCACGAAAGCGUGGGGAGCAAACAGGAUUAGAUACCCUGGCUAGUCCACGCCGUAAACGAUGAGCACUAGUUGUUGGGUACGAAUGUAUUCAGUGACGCAGUUAACGCAAUAAGUGCUCCGCCUGGGGAGUACGGUGGCAACACUAAAACUCAAAGGAAUUGACGGGGACCCGCACAAGCAGCGGAGCAUGUGGUUUAAUUCGAAGCAACGCGAAAAACCUUACCAGGGCUUGACAUCCCUCUGACCGGAUCUUAACCGAUCCUUUCUUCGGACAGAGGUGACAGGUGGUGCAUGGUUGUCGUCAGCUCGUGUCGUGAGAUGUUGGGUUAAGUCCCGCAACGAGCGCAACCCUUGUCGUCAGUUACUAACAUUAAGUUGAGGACUCUGACGAGACUGCCGAGGUCAACUCGGAGGAAGGUGGGGAUGACGUCAAAUCAUCAUGCCCCUUAUGUUCUGGGCUACACACGUGCUACAAUGGCCGGUACAAUGAGAAGCAAAAUGGCGACAUGGAGCAAAUCACCAAAACCGGUCCCAGUUCGGAUUGCAGGCUGCAACUCGCCUGCAUGAGGUCGGAGUUGCUAGUAAUCGCGAAUCAGCAUGUCGCGGUGAAUGCGUUCCCGGGUCUUGUACACACCGCCCGUCACACCAUGGAAGUUGGGGGCGCCCAAAGUUGGCUAAUCAAUCUGCUACCUAAGGCGAAACCAAUGACUGGGGUGAAGUCGUAACAAGGUAACCGUA
This 1481-nucleotide ribosomal RNA is filed under the name uncultured rumen bacterium. RNAcentral describes it as "bacterial SSU rRNA". It matches the Rfam family "Bacterial small subunit ribosomal RNA". The record is from RNAcentral.